GACGAACGCUGGCGGCGUGCCUAAUACAUGCAAGUUGAGCGCUGAAGGUUGGUACUUGUACCAACUGGAUGAGCAGCGAACGGGUGAGUAACGCGUGGGGAAUCUGCCUUUGAGCGGGGGACAACAUUGGGAAACGAAUGCUAAUACCGCAUAAAAACUUUAAACACAAGUUUUAAGUUUGAAAGAUGCAAUUGCAUCACUCAAAGAUGAUCCCGCGUUGUAUUAGCUAGUUGGUGAGGUAAAGGCUCACCAAGGCGAUGAUACAUAGCCGACCUGAGAGGGUGAUCGGCCCCCUUGGGACUGAGACACGGCCCAAACCCCUACGGGAGGCAGCAGUAGGGAAUCUUCGGCAAUGGACGAAAGUCUGACCGAGCAACGCCGCGUGAGUGAAGAAGGUUUUCGGAUCGUAAGACUCUGUUGGUAGAGAAGAACGUUGGUGAGAGUGGAAAGCUCAUCAAGUGACGGUAACUACCCAGAAAGGGACGGCUAACUACGUG
RNAcentral lists this ribosomal RNA (497 nucleotides) under uncultured bacterium. Its description in RNAcentral is "partial 16S ribosomal RNA". It matches the Rfam family "Bacterial small subunit ribosomal RNA", at positions 28 to 507 of the family's 1533-position model. The record is from RNAcentral.